RNAcentral lists this ribosomal RNA (253 nucleotides) under uncultured prokaryote. RNAcentral's name for it is "partial 16S ribosomal RNA". It matches the Rfam family "Bacterial small subunit ribosomal RNA", at positions 524 to 776 of the family's 1533-position model. The record is from RNAcentral.
UACAGAGGGUGCAAGCGUUGUUCGGAAUUAUUGGGCGUAAAGGGCGCGUAGGCGGUGCCACAAGUCACUUGUGAAAUCUCCGGGCUUAACUCGGAGCCUGCAGGCGAAACUGUGGUGCUGGAGUGUGGGAGAGGUGCGUGGAAUUCCCGGUGUAGCGGUGAAAUGCGUAGAUAUCGGAAGGAACAUCAGUGGCGAAAGCGACUUCCUGGACCAGUACCGACGUUCAGGCACGAAAGCGUGGGGAGCAAACGGG